CGUAGGUGGCAAGCGUUGUCCGGAUUUACUGGGCGUAAAGGGCGUGCAGGCGGUCUGUUAAGUUCAGGGUGAAAGCUCCCGGCUCAACUGGGAGAGGUCCUUGGAUACUGGCAGACUUGAGGGAGGUAGAGGAGAGUGGAAUUCCCGGUGUAGUGGUGAUAUGCGUAGAUAUCGGGAGGAACACCAGUGGCGAAGGCGGCUCUCUGGGCCUUUCCUGACGCUGAGACGCGAAAGCGUGGGGAGCGAACCGGAUUAGAUACCCGGGUAGUCCACGCCGUAAACUAUGAACACUAGGUGUGGGGGUAUCGACCCCUCCGUGCCGAAGCUAACGCAAUAAGUGUUCCGCCUGGGGAGUACGGCCGCAAGGCUA
RNAcentral lists this ribosomal RNA (370 nucleotides) under uncultured organism. RNAcentral's name for it is "bacterial SSU rRNA". It matches the Rfam family "Bacterial small subunit ribosomal RNA", at positions 526 to 896 of the family's 1533-position model. The record is from RNAcentral.